RNA transcript from Nomascus leucogenys (northern white-cheeked gibbon), 435 nucleotides. It is a transcript of the gene named V-type proton ATPase subunit G 1 pseudogene, with no coding region annotated. Lineage: Eukaryota; Metazoa; Chordata; Mammalia; Primates; Hylobatidae. The record is from RefSeq and is a predicted model, not a curated record. The transcript has a single exon.
AUGGCUAGUUAGUCACAGGGGAUUCAGCAGCUGCUGCAGGCUGAGAAGCGGGCAGCCGAGAAGGUGUCCGAGGCCCGCAAAAGAAAGAACCGGAGGCUGAAGCAGGCCAAAGCAGCAGCUCAGGCUGAAAUUGAACAGUACCGCCGGCAGAGGGAGAAAGAAUUCAAGGCCAAGGAGGCUGCGGCACUGGGAUCCCGUGGCAGUUGCGGCACUGAAGUGGAGAAGGAGACCCAGGAGAAGAGGACCAUCCUCCAGACGUACUUCCGGCAGAACAGGGAUGAAGUCUUCGAUAACCUCUUGGCUUUUGUCUGUGACAUUCAGCCAGAAAUCCAUGAAAACUACUGCAUAAAUGGAUAGAAGAGAGAAGCACCUGUUCUGUGGAGUGGCACUUUAGAUGCCCUCACGAAUAUGAAGCUUAGCACAGCUCUAGAUACA